Molecule: ribosomal RNA, 253 nt
Filed under: uncultured bacterium
Lineage: Bacteria
Description: partial 16S ribosomal RNA
Rfam family: Bacterial small subunit ribosomal RNA
Source: RNAcentral
UACAGAGGUCUCAAGCGUUGUUCGGAUUCAUUGGGCGUAAAGGGUGUGUAGGUGGCGCCGUAAGUCGGGUGUGAAAUUUCGGAGCUUAACUCCGAAACUGCAUUCGAUACUGCGGUGCUUGAGGACUGGAGAGGAGACUGGAAUUCAUGGUGUAGCAGUGAAAUUCGUAGAUAUACGGAGGAAUACCGGUGGCGAAGGCGGCCUUCUGGACCAUUUCUGACGCUGAGACGCGAAAGCGUGGGGAGCAAACAGG